CAGCCGCCGCGGUAAUACAGAGGGUGCGAGCGUUAAUCGGAUUUACUGGGCGUAAAGCGUGCGUAGGCGGCUUUUUAAGUCGGAUGUGAAAUCCCUGAGCUUAACUUAAGAAUUGCAUUCGAUACUGGGAAGCUAGAGUAUGGGAGAGGAUGGUAGAAUUCCAGGUGUAGCGGUGAAAUGCGUAGAGAUCUGGAGGAAUACCGAUGGCGAAGGCAGCCAUCUGGCCUAAUACUGACGCUGAGGUACGAAAGCAUGGGGAGCAAACAGGAUUAGAUACCCCCGUAGUCCCUGUCUCUUAUAC
RNAcentral lists this ribosomal RNA (301 nucleotides) under uncultured bacterium. Its description in RNAcentral is "partial 16S ribosomal RNA". It matches the Rfam family "Bacterial small subunit ribosomal RNA", at positions 509 to 807 of the family's 1533-position model. The record is from RNAcentral.